UACGAAGGGGGCUAGCGUUGCUCGGAAUCACUGGGCGUAAAGCGCACGUAGGCGGAUUGCUAAGUCAGGGGUGAAAUCCUGGAGCUCAACUCCAGAACUGCCUUCGAUACUGGGAGUCUCGAGUUCGGGAGAGGUGAGUGGAACUGCGAGUGUAGAGGUGAAAUUCGUAGAUAUUCGCAAGAACACCAGUGGCGAAGGCGGCUCACUGGCCCGAUACUGACGCUGAGGUGCGAAAGCGUGGGGGAGCAAACAGG
RNAcentral lists this ribosomal RNA (254 nucleotides) under uncultured bacterium. Its description in RNAcentral is "partial 16S ribosomal RNA". It matches the Rfam family "Bacterial small subunit ribosomal RNA", at positions 524 to 776 of the family's 1533-position model. The record is from RNAcentral.